Molecule: long non-coding RNA, 567 nt
Organism: Acinonyx jubatus (cheetah)
Lineage: Eukaryota; Metazoa; Chordata; Mammalia; Carnivora; Felidae
Exons: 3
Source: RefSeq, a predicted model, not a curated record
CCAACGCGGGGAGGAGACUCGGGAUCCCGCCUCCCCGCGACCCCAGGGGCGGGCACUCUGCUGAGUGGCAGGAGAGUAAGCCAAUAGGGCUGCGGAGGCGGCCGGGGGCGGGGCUUCCCCAGGGCGCGCUCGGACUCGCAAGAGGGCUAGCGGGCCAGAAGCUGGCCGCAAGUUUCAGCCCUGCCCGGGGUUUGCUGAGCGCGCAUCUGUGGGGCCUUAUCACCUUCCUCACCGUCUGCGCUGAGAGGCCUGGCCUCGUGUGAGGAGACUAGCAGAAUCUCGUUACUGCCACCACCAUUCUCUCACAUGCUUUUUAUCGCUAUAAUUCCGACUGGACUUCCUGAUCCAAGAUGUGCAUCUUCCAGCAGGCCCACUGAGGUCUACAGUGGUUGGUGCUAAAUGGCAUGGAUUAAAGCACCCCACAGAUACCAUUUACUAUGGCUGGAUCAGAGGAGCAGGCCUGACUUACAAGCCUUGUCCACUUAUGCUCACUUGUUACUGUACUUAAUGGAGGGACCUAGAGAAAAGGUAAGAUAGAAGAUGUCAACUAAAGAGUCCUGCCCACAU